Molecule: microRNA precursor, 168 nt
Filed under: Medicago truncatula (barrel medic)
Lineage: Eukaryota; Viridiplantae; Streptophyta; Magnoliopsida; Fabales; Fabaceae
Description: MIR2680 microRNA precursor family
Rfam family: MIR2680 microRNA precursor family
Source: Rfam by way of RNAcentral
AUAGGGUCUAGACCUGGCAUAUCUUCAUAGGACCAUGCAAAAAUAUCCGGAUAUUCCCGGAGGAGUUGGAUAAUCUUCCGCUUAACCCCUUCCUCUAGAGUAGCACCAAUCUUGAUUUCUUGCUUGUUUUCCUCGGUACCUAUGUUAAUAAGCUCAAUCUCUUCCUGG